Molecule: ribosomal RNA, 576 nt
Filed under: uncultured eukaryote
Lineage: Eukaryota
Description: SSU rRNA
Rfam family: Eukaryotic small subunit ribosomal RNA
Source: RNAcentral
UAAAAACCCCGACUUCGGAAGGGGUGUAUUUAUUAGAUACAAAACCAAUGCCCUUCGGGGCUCUUUGGUGAUUCAUGAUAACUAUACGAAUCGCACGGCCUUGCGCCGGCGAUGGUUCAUUCAAAUUUCUUCCCUAUCAACUUUCGAUGUUUGGGUAUUGGCCAAACAUGGUUGCAACGGGUAACGGAGGGUUAGGGCUCGACCCCGGAGAAGGAGCCUGAGAAACGGCUACUACAUCCAAGGAAGGCAGCAGGCGCGCAAAUUACCCAAUCCCGACUCGGGGAGGUAGUGACAAUAAAUACUGAUACAGGGCCCUUUCGGGCCUUGUAAUUGGAAUGAGUACAAUUUAAAUCCCUUAACGAGGAACAAUUGGAGGGCAAGUCUGGUGCCAGCAGCCGCGGUAAUUCCAGCUCCAAUAGCGUAUAUUAAAGUUGUUGUGGUUAAAAAGCUCGUAGUUGAACCUUGGGCCUGGCUGGCCGGUCCGCCUCACCGCGUGCACUGGUCCGGCCGGGCCUUUCCCUCUGUGGAACCCCGUACCCUUCACUGGGCGUGGCGGGGAAACAGGACAUUUACUUU